This 433-nucleotide ribosomal RNA is filed under the name uncultured bacterium. RNAcentral describes it as "partial 16S ribosomal RNA". It matches the Rfam family "Bacterial small subunit ribosomal RNA", at positions 29 to 507 of the family's 1533-position model. The record is from RNAcentral.
AGCGAACGCUGGCGGCAGGCCUAACACAUGCAAGUCGAACGAACUCUUCGGAGUUAGUGGCGGACGGGUGAGUAACACGUGGGAACGUGCCUUUUGGUUCGGAAUAACUCAGGGAAACUUGUGCUAAUACCGAAUGUGCCCUUCGGGGGAAAGAUUUAUCGCCAUUAGAGCGGCCCGCGUCUGAUUAGCUAGUUGGUGAGGUAACGGCUCACCAAGGCGACGAUCAGUAGCUGGUCUGAGAGGAUGACCAGCCACACUGGGACUGAGACACGGCCCAGACUCCUACGGGAGGCAGCAGUGGGGAAUCUUGCGCAAUGGGCGAAAGCCUGACGCAGCCAUGCCGCGUGAAUGAUGAAGGUCUUAGGAUUGUAAAAUUCUUUCACCGGGGACGAUAAUGACGGUACCCGGAGAAGAAGCCCCGGUUAACUUCGUG